AGUUAAACCCCCACUAGAGCUUCUAACUCUAGGAUUAGCGUUUAUUCGUUAUUAGCUCUG
Molecule: transfer RNA, 60 nt
Filed under: Cryptorhynchinae sp. 7 ACP-2013
Lineage: Eukaryota; Metazoa; Arthropoda; Insecta; Coleoptera; Curculionidae
Description: tRNA-Ser
Source: RNAcentral